RNAcentral lists this transfer RNA (96 nucleotides) under Colletotrichum lupini. Its description in RNAcentral is "tRNA-Pro". It matches the Rfam family "tRNA". Rfam says of the family: Transfer RNA (tRNA) molecules are approximately 80 nucleotides in length. Their secondary structure includes four short double-helical elements and three loops (D, anti-codon, and T loops). Further hydrogen bonds mediate the characteristic L-shaped molecular structure. tRNAs have two regions of fundamental functional importance: the anti-codon, which is responsible for specific mRNA codon recognition, and the 3' end, to which the tRNAs corresponding amino acid is attached (by aminoacyl-tRNA synthetases). tRNAs cope with the degeneracy of the genetic code in two manners: having more than one tRNA (with a specific anti-codon) for a particular amino acid; and 'wobble' base-pairing, i.e. permitting non-standard base-pairing at the 3rd anti-codon position. The record is from RNAcentral. Lineage: Eukaryota; Fungi; Ascomycota; Sordariomycetes; Glomerellales; Glomerellaceae.
GCCCUGGUGGUCUAGCGGUAUGAUUCUUCCUUAGGGUUAUUGAGCGAUCAAACACCAUCUUGGAAGAGGCCCCAGGUUCGAAUCCUGGCCAGGGCC